UUAGCUGAAAAGACGUAAAGGCAGUCAGCCCAGUGGUGUUUCUGGAGAGGGAUUCCUUCAGAAAUGGAGAAGACAGAAAGCUGCGGAGGCAGAUAUUUGCAGCAGUCUAAAAUAUCGAGCUCAACAGCUAUUUUAAGAGCCAACCCUCACAAACCUUCCUAAAACCUAAAAGAGCUAUUACUGAGUCUCAGCGAAUCUUGCCACGAUCAGCUCUUCCCAGAAGAGAAGGAAGACCAAGGAUAUGAUUUGCUCAGGAUGAGGAAUGAAGAUGGCCAUCUUGAGCUCAAACAAACAGAAGUCCUCUGAUGAUCUCAUCAGCCAAAUGAGGGGUUUUGACCAAGUGAUGCUCUUGAAAGGAGUGAAAGAAGAGGAUGUGGUAAAUUGUCUUCAGAGAAAAGCUUCUCAAAAGAUCUUAAAACAGCUUGAAGAAUGGUCUGGGAUCUUAGGACUGAGAGAUCAUCUGGCUGAGAACAAGCUACACCACAUCAGUGCUGGAUAUCAACCACAAACUGUUUCCAGACACGAGAGAAGAAGAUCACGAUGGGGAGAUGAAACCAGUUUAGAUGUGAUGAUGGGAAUCAUUAUUUUCUGAAACAGUAUCACAUGUCUUAUAUGUAUCACAUGAUCUGUAUCACAGUUGACUGGAUGGGACUGUGUGACUUUUAAGGACAUUUCAUCACUCAUCUGUGUGAACUGAUUUAUAUAUGAGGUUAAUGUAUCUUUGAUGAUAAUUAUUUUCAUUGAAUCUUAUUUGUCUUGAUGCUACUUUAUCAACUUUAUAGUCUAUGCUUCAAUAAAAUGAAAAUGGUGAAUAUUGUGUUCUGAAGAUUCUUGGUAAAUACAUCAUUUUACUAGGUAGGCUCAUAUGUGUUUAUUUUAGACUUGGAAAAACGACAUAUUAAUUAUUGGGAUUAUUUUUUUAUUUAAGACAUGCACAUUUUUGAUCGGAUUAAUAACAUCUGGGACAUCAGUACACCAGAAAGUAAUUUUUUAUAUUUUAGUAACAAAUAUGCACAUUUUUUGUGAAAUACAGGGAGUUACAAGAUUAAUUAUUCUGCAUUACAAGAUGGUGCCAUGGGCUUUAUUGUUACAAACACUUGAGGGAUAACUGAGAGUAGCAGGAAUGAUCAACAUGGAUCUUGUACUGUAUUCAAACCCAAGA
Molecule: long non-coding RNA, 1162 nt
Filed under: Carassius auratus (goldfish)
Lineage: Eukaryota; Metazoa; Chordata; Actinopteri; Cypriniformes; Cyprinidae
Description: lncRNA (ENSCARG00000058960.1)
Source: RNAcentral